RNAcentral lists this ribosomal RNA (202 nucleotides) under uncultured bacterium. RNAcentral's name for it is "partial 16S ribosomal RNA". It matches the Rfam family "Bacterial small subunit ribosomal RNA", at positions 1300 to 1500 of the family's 1533-position model. The record is from RNAcentral.
GUAGUCUGCAACUCGACUACAUGAAGCUGGAAUCGCUAGUAAUCGCGGAUCAGAAUGCCGCGGUGAAUACGUUCCCGGGUCUUGUACACACCGCCCGUCACACCAUGGGAGUCAGUAACGCCCGAAGCCGGUGACCCAACCUAAACAGGAGGGAGCCGUCGAAGGCGGGACGGAUGACUGGGUGAAGUCGUAACAAGGUAGC